Molecule: ribosomal RNA, 514 nt
Filed under: Lasioptera sp. Lassp136
Lineage: Eukaryota; Metazoa; Arthropoda; Insecta; Diptera; Cecidomyiidae
Description: partial large subunit ribosomal RNA
Source: RNAcentral
CGCCUNUUUAUUAAAAACAUGGUUUUUAAAAUUUAUUAAAAAUUGAACCUGCCAAUUGAAUUAAUUUUAAAAGGCCGCAGUAUUUUGACUGUGCUAAGGUAGCAUAAUCAUUAGAUUUUUAAUUGAAAUCUAGAAUGAAUGGUUUAAUGAAACAAAUUCUUUUUUAAUUUAAAAAUUUUUAAUUUUAUUUUUUAGUUAAAAAGCUAAAAUUUUAUUAAGGGACGAGAAGACCCUAUAGAAUUUUAUAUAAAUUUAUUAUAUUUUAAUUAAUAAAUUAUUUUUAUAAUAAUGAUAUAUUGUAUUGGGGUGAUAGUUAAAUUUAAUUAACUUUUUUUGUUAAUUCAUAAAUUAAUGUUUAAAUGAUCUUUUUAUAUUGAAUAAAAAUUUAAAUUACCUUAGGGAUAACAGCAUAAUUAUAUUAAAAAGUUCUUAUUUUUAAUAUUGUUUAUGACCUCGAUGUUGGAUUAAAUAAAAUUAUUAUAUGAAGAUAUAUAAUAAAUAAGUCUGUUCGACU